GUUGAAACUUACCAAACAAAAUCCCUAUUAGGGAUUGAAAC
RNAcentral lists this non-coding RNA (41 nucleotides) under Mastigocoleus testarum BC008. Lineage: Bacteria; Bacillati; Cyanobacteriota; Cyanophyceae; Nostocales; Hapalosiphonaceae. The record is from RNAcentral.